This 247-nucleotide ribosomal RNA is filed under the name uncultured bacterium. Its description in RNAcentral is "partial 16S ribosomal RNA". It matches the Rfam family "Bacterial small subunit ribosomal RNA", at positions 523 to 769 of the family's 1533-position model. The record is from RNAcentral.
AUACGUAGGGGGCAAGCGUUGUCCGGAUUUACUGGGUGUAAAGGGCGCGCAGGCGGAAUAUCAAGUCAGAGGUGAAAUCCUACAGCUUAACUGUAGAACUGCCUUUGAUACUGUUAUUCUUGAGUUCGGGAGAGAGAGACGGAAUUCCAGGUGUAGUGGUGAAAUACGUAGAUAUCUGGAAGAACACCAGUUGCGAAGGCAGCCCCCUGGGUCGACACUGACGCUCAUGCACGAAAGCGUGGGGAGC